GAAGGGCUAUAGCUCAUUGGUAGAGCAUCUACUUUGUGGGCAGAAGGUGCUGGGUUCAAUCCUUGGCAUCUUCA
Molecule: non-coding RNA, 74 nt
Organism: Podarcis lilfordi (Lilford's wall lizard)
Lineage: Eukaryota; Metazoa; Chordata; Lepidosauria; Squamata; Lacertidae
Source: the annotation of a GenBank genome assembly